This 588-nucleotide ribosomal RNA is filed under the name Bacillus pumilus. RNAcentral describes it as "bacterial SSU rRNA". It matches the Rfam family "Bacterial small subunit ribosomal RNA", at positions 173 to 747 of the family's 1533-position model. The record is from RNAcentral. Lineage: Bacteria; Bacillati; Bacillota; Bacilli; Caryophanales; Bacillaceae.
UUCCUUGAACCGCAUGGUUCAAGGAUGAAAGACGGUUUCGGCUGUCACUUCACAGAUGGACCCGCGGCGCAUUAGCUAGUUGGUGGGGUAAUGGCUCACCAAGGCGACGAUGCGUAGCCGACCUGAGAGGGUGAUCGGCCACACUGGGACUGAGACACGGCCCAGACUCCUACGGGAGGCAGCAGUAGGGAAUCUUCCGCAAUGGACGAAAGUCUGACGGAGCAACGCCGCGUGACGUGAUGAAGGUUUUCGGAUCGUAAAGCUCUGUUGUUAGGGAAGAACAAGUGCGAGAGUAACUGCUCGCACCUUGACGGUACCUAACCAGAAAGCGCACGGCUAACUACGUGCCAGCAGCCGCGGUAAUACGUAGGUGGCAAGCGUUGUCCGGAAUUAUUGGGCGUAAAGGGCUCGCAGGCGGUUUCUUAAGUCUGAUGUGAAAGCCCCCGGCUCAACCGGGGAGGGUCAUUGGAAACUGGGAAACUUGAGUGCAGAAGAGGAGAGUGGAAUUCCACGUGUAGCGGUGAAAUGCGUAGAGAUGUGGAGGAACACCAGUGGCGAAAGGCGACUCUCUGGUCUGUAACUGACGCU